GGUAAAGUGGCUGAAAGUUUAAGCGUUGGAUUGUAGUCCCAUGAAUAGAGGUUUAAUUCCUCUCUUUAUCA
RNAcentral lists this transfer RNA (71 nucleotides) under Cynoglossus robustus. RNAcentral describes it as "tRNA-Tyr". It matches the Rfam family "tRNA". Rfam says of the family: Transfer RNA (tRNA) molecules are approximately 80 nucleotides in length. Their secondary structure includes four short double-helical elements and three loops (D, anti-codon, and T loops). RNAcentral also lists the same sequence under 2 other names. The record is from RNAcentral. Lineage: Eukaryota; Metazoa; Chordata; Actinopteri; Pleuronectiformes; Cynoglossidae.